GCCGGGUACAGUGGUGCACGCCUGUCGUCCCAGCUACUCGGGAGGCAGAGACAAGAGGAUUGAUUGAGUCCAGGAGUUCUGGGCUGUAGUGAGCUAUGCAGAUCGGGUUUCUGCACUAAGUUCGGCAUCAAGGUGGUGACCUCCCAGGAAUGGGGAAGAGGUGAGGUGGGGGGGCACCAGGUUGCCUAAGGAGGAGUGAACCAGCCCAGGUCAGAAAGGAGCAGAUCAAAACUCUCAUGCUGAUCAGGAGAGGAAGGCAGGCAGAUCACAAAUUGAACUCAGGGUCAGACUGGGCGGCAUAGUGAGACAU
Mesocricetus auratus (golden hamster) is the source of this 310-nucleotide unclassified non-coding RNA. It matches the Rfam family "Metazoan signal recognition particle RNA". Rfam says of the family: The signal recognition particle (SRP) is a universally conserved ribonucleoprotein. It is involved in the co-translational targeting of proteins to membranes. The eukaryotic SRP consists of a 300-nucleotide 7S RNA and six proteins: SRPs 72, 68, 54, 19, 14, and 9. NCBI's taxonomy places the organism in Eukaryota, Metazoa, Chordata, Mammalia, Rodentia, Cricetidae. The record is from Ensembl.